RNAcentral lists this ribosomal RNA (459 nucleotides) under uncultured bacterium. Its description in RNAcentral is "SSU rRNA". It matches the Rfam family "Bacterial small subunit ribosomal RNA", at positions 26 to 518 of the family's 1533-position model. The record is from RNAcentral.
AGAAUCAACGCUGGCGGCGUGCCUAACACAUGCAAGUCGAACGAGAAAGUGGAGCAAUCCAUGAGUAAAGUGGCGCACGGGUGAGUAACACGUGACUAACCUACCCUGGAGUGGGGGAUAACUGAGGGAAACCUUAGCUAAUACCGCAUAAUACCUACGGGUCAAAGGAGCAAUUCGCUUCAGGAGGGGGUCGCGGCCGAUUAGUUAGUUGGCGGGGUAAUGGCCCACCAAGACAGUGAUCGGUAUCCGGCCUGAGAGGGCGCACGGACACACUGGAACUGAAACACGGUCCAGACUCCUACGGGAGGCAGCAGUGGGGAAUUUUGCGCAAUGGGGGAAACCCUGACGCAGCAACGCCGCGUGGAGGAUGAAGUCCUUCGGGACGUAAACUCCUUUCGAUCGGGACGAUUAUGACGGUACCGGAAGAAGAAGCCCGGCUAACUUCGUGCCAGCAGCCGC